Molecule: ribosomal RNA, 209 nt
Filed under: uncultured bacterium
Lineage: Bacteria
Description: partial 16S ribosomal RNA
Rfam family: Bacterial small subunit ribosomal RNA
Source: RNAcentral
GCCCGAUGAUUGGACAACUCGAGGAAACUCGGCUAAUACCAAAUGUGCCCUCCGGCCUCAAGGCCGGCGGGGAAAGGAAGCUUCGGCCUCCGCAUCGGGAUGGGCCCGCGGCCCAUUAGCUUGUUGGUGAGGUAACGGCUCACCAAGGCGACGAUGGGUAGCUGGUCUGAGAGGACGAUCAGCCACACUGGGACUGAGACACGGCCCCG